CCUACGGUGGCUGCAGUGGGGAAUAUUGGACAAUGGGCGAAAGCCUGAUCCAGCCAUGCCGCGUGUGUGAAGAAGGCCUUCGGGUUGUAAAGCACUUUCAGUGGGGAAGAAAGCCUUGGGGCUAAUACCCUCGAGGAAGGACAUCACCCACAGAAGAAGCACCGGCUAACUCCGUGCCAGCAGCCGCGGUAAUACGGAGGGUGCGAGCGUUAAUCGGAAUUACUGGGCGUAAAGCGCGCGUAGGCGGUCUGAUAAGCCGGUUGUGAAAGCCCCGGGCUCGACCUGGGAACGGCAUCCGGAACUGUCAGGCUAGAGUGCAGGAGAGGAAGGUAGAAUUCCCGGUGUAGCGGUGAAAUGCGUAGAGAUCGGGAGGAAUACCAGUGGCGAAGGCGGCCUUCUGGACUGACACUGACGCUGAGGUGCGAAAGCGUGGGUAGCAAACAGGAUUAGAUACCCCAGUAGUC
RNAcentral lists this ribosomal RNA (464 nucleotides) under Vreelandella stevensii. Its description in RNAcentral is "partial 16S ribosomal RNA". It matches the Rfam family "Bacterial small subunit ribosomal RNA", at positions 338 to 795 of the family's 1533-position model. Lineage: Bacteria; Pseudomonadati; Pseudomonadota; Gammaproteobacteria; Oceanospirillales; Halomonadaceae. The record is from RNAcentral.